Molecule: long non-coding RNA, 217 nt
Organism: Daphnia pulex (common water flea)
Lineage: Eukaryota; Metazoa; Arthropoda; Branchiopoda; Diplostraca; Daphniidae
Exons: 2
Source: RefSeq, a predicted model, not a curated record
AGUCAUUAAGUUGGUGCAGCCAACAACAUACUUCCCUUUAUAAUCAAUAACAACAAAACAACAGACAAGCAGACAACGCGAAACUGUUGAUGAAAUUUCCAGGUGCGUUCUUAAACCUGCAAAUGCAACAAAGUUUGUACGCAAUUAAUAAAUGUGGUUUUUCCUUUUUGUGCAGCAUCACUAUAAUUCUCUAAAUACAAAAUAAUAAAUAUCAUAA